Molecule: ribosomal RNA, 253 nt
Filed under: uncultured bacterium
Lineage: Bacteria
Description: partial 16S ribosomal RNA
Rfam family: Bacterial small subunit ribosomal RNA
Source: RNAcentral
UACGUAGGGUGCAAGCGUUGUCCGGAAUUAUUGGGCGUAAAGAGCGUGUAGGCGGUCUGGUAGGUCCGUUGUGAAAACUCGAGGCUCAACCUCGAGACGCCGAUGGAAACCCUCAGACUAGAGUCCGGAAGAGGAGAGUGGAAUUCCUGGUGUAGCGGUGAAAUGCGCAGAUAUCAGGAAGAACACCCGUGGCUAAGGCGGCUCUCUAGUACGUGACUGACGCUGAGACGCGAAAGCGUGGGGAGCGAACAGG